UGUUGUAGGGGAAGAGUCAGCGGUGCCAGAAGAUUUUGAUCAGGGGACUCAGCACCCCAGCGAGUAGGUUGUGACUCGGAUCCGUGAUUGAGUCAGUCUACAAUUUCUAGGCACUGGAUUUGUAGAGACCAUUGGGUGGAACGAGAAAUCAGAUCAGCAUGGAGUCUGAUUGCUGGAUAGAUAGAAGUUAAUCUAUCUUUUAUUUAUGGACAUUUGAAAUUAUGUAAUAAAUCAGUACAUUUUAGUUGGUUUGUUUUAAAUACAUUAAUUAUGGAUUUAUUGGAAUUUUUGUUUA
Phoenix dactylifera (date palm) is the source of this 295-nucleotide long non-coding RNA. RefSeq lists it as uncharacterized. Lineage: Eukaryota; Viridiplantae; Streptophyta; Magnoliopsida; Arecales; Arecaceae. The record is from RefSeq and is a predicted model, not a curated record.